This 218-nucleotide long non-coding RNA is filed under the name Vigna radiata. Its description in RNAcentral is "long non-coding RNA (VRAD_LNC018344)". The record is from RNAcentral. Lineage: Eukaryota; Viridiplantae; Streptophyta; Magnoliopsida; Fabales; Fabaceae.
GGGAGAAGAUUAAACAAAGUUUUGGCAAACAAAAAUUGAAUUUAAAAAACUUUUGAAACAUAAAACAUAUUUUAUAUUUUUAUAUAUUUUAUUUCCGUACCUAAACAAGUAUAAAAUGUGAAAAUGAAAAAUGCUUAAAAAAAUGCCAUUAUUAUUAUUAUUAUUAUUAUUAUUAUUAUUAUUAUUAUUAGUUGAUCACAUAACACAUUAUUUAAAUA